This 482-nucleotide ribosomal RNA is filed under the name uncultured bacterium. RNAcentral describes it as "partial 16S ribosomal RNA". It matches the Rfam family "Bacterial small subunit ribosomal RNA", at positions 30 to 507 of the family's 1533-position model. The record is from RNAcentral.
AUUGAACGCUGGCGGCAUGCCUUACACAUGCAAGUCGAACGGUAACGGGCCUUCGGGUGCCGCCGAGUGGCGAACGGGUGAGUAAUACAUCGGAACGUGCCCGAUCGUGGGGGAUAACGAGGCGAAAGCUUUGCUAAUACCGCAUACGAUCUACGGAUGAGAGCAGGGGACCGCAAGGCCUUGCGCGGGCGGAGCGGCCGAUGGCAGAUUAGGUAGUUGGUGGGAUAAAAGCUUACCAAGCCGACGAUCUGUAGCUGGUCUGAGAGGAUGAUCAGCCACACUGGGACUGAGACACGGCCCAGACUCCUACGGGAGGCAGCAGUGGGGAAUUUUGGACAAUGGGCGCAAGCCUGAUCCAGCCAUGCCGCGUGCAGGAUGAAGGCCUUCGGGUUGUAAACUGCUUUUGUACGGAACGAAAAGCCUUCUUUUAAUACAGGAGGGUCAUGACGGUACCGGAAGAAUAAGCACCGGCUAACUACGUG